RNAcentral lists this ribosomal RNA (482 nucleotides) under uncultured bacterium. Its description in RNAcentral is "partial 16S ribosomal RNA". It matches the Rfam family "Bacterial small subunit ribosomal RNA", at positions 30 to 507 of the family's 1533-position model. The record is from RNAcentral.
AUUGAACGCUGGCGGCAUGCCUUACACAUGCAAGUCGAACGGUAACGGGCCUUCGGGUGCCGACGAGUGGCGCACGGGUGAGUAAUACGUCGGAACGUGCCCGAUCGUGGGGGAUAACGAGGCGAAAGCUUUGCUAAUACCGCAUACGAUCUACGGAUGAAAGCAGGGGACCGCAAGGCCUUGCGCGGACGGAGCGGCCGAUGGCAGAUUAGGUAGUUGGUGGGAUAAAAGCUUACCAAGCCGACGAUCUGUAGCUGGUCUGAGAGGAUGAUCAGCCACACUGGGACUGAGACACGGCCCAGACUCCUACGGGAGGCAGCAGUGGGGAAUUUUGGACAAUGGGCGCAAGCCUGAUCCAGCCAUGCCGCGUGCAGGAUGAAGGCCUUCGGGUUGUAAACUGCUUUUGUACGGAACGAAAAGCCUUCUUUUAAUACAGGAGGGUCAUGACGGUACCGUAAGAAUAAGCACCGGCUAACUACGUG